UACGGGGGGGGCAAGCGUUGUUCGGAAUUACUGGGCGUAAAGGGCGUGUAGGCGGCCAACUAAGUCCGACGUGAAAUCCCCAGGCUUAACCUGGGAACUGCGUCGGAUACUGGAUGGCUUGAGUAUGGGAGAGGGAUGUAGAAUUCCAGGUGUAGCGGUGAAAUGCGUAGAUAUCUGGAGGAAUACCGGUGGCGAAGGCGGCCCCCUGGACCGGUACUGACGCUGAGGCGCGAAAGCGUGGGUAGCAAACGGG
Molecule: ribosomal RNA, 253 nt
Filed under: uncultured bacterium
Lineage: Bacteria
Description: partial 16S ribosomal RNA
Rfam family: Bacterial small subunit ribosomal RNA
Source: RNAcentral